Molecule: unclassified non-coding RNA, 390 nt
Filed under: soil metagenome
Description: partial contains 5.8S ribosomal RNA, internal transcribed spacer 2, and large subunit ribosomal RNA
Rfam family: 5.8S ribosomal RNA (bases 1-122)
Source: RNAcentral
GAUGAAGAACGCAGCGAAAUGCGAUACUUGGUGUGAAUUGCAGAAUCCCGUGAACCAUCGAGUCUUUGAACGCAAGUUGCGCCCGAAGCCAUUAGGCCGAGGGCACGCCUGCCUGGGCGUCACACGUCGUUGCCCCCCAUCUACUCCUUCGGGAUUGCGGGGGGCGGAUGAUGGCCUCCCGUGCGCCUCGUCGCGCGGUUGGCAUAAAUGCCAAGUCCUCGGCGACGCACGCCACGACAAUCGGUGGUUGCGAAACCUCGGUUGCCCGUCGUGUGCGGUCGUCGCGCAUCGAGGGCUCGAAAAAAUUGCCGGGCUCCGGCUCGGCUUUCAACGCUACCCCAGGUCAGGCGGGGUUACCCGCUGAAUUUAAGCAUAUCAAUAAGCGGAGGA